RNAcentral lists this ribosomal RNA (253 nucleotides) under uncultured bacterium. RNAcentral's name for it is "partial 16S ribosomal RNA". It matches the Rfam family "Bacterial small subunit ribosomal RNA", at positions 524 to 776 of the family's 1533-position model. The record is from RNAcentral.
GACAGAGGGGGCAAACGUUGCUCGGAAUCACUGGGCGUAAAGGGCGUGUAGGCGGUCAGGUAAGUCAGAUGUGAAAUCCCUGGGCUCAACCCAGGAACUGCAUUUGAAACUCCCUUUCUUGAGUGUCGGAGAGGAAAGUGGAAUUCCUGGUGUAGAGGUGAAAUUCGUAGAUAUCAGGAGGAACACCAGUGGCGAAGGCGGCUUUCUGGACGAAAACUGACGCUGAGACGCGAAAGCGUGGGGAGCAAACAGG